This 355-nucleotide ribosomal RNA is filed under the name uncultured bacterium. RNAcentral's name for it is "bacterial SSU rRNA". It matches the Rfam family "Bacterial small subunit ribosomal RNA", at positions 30 to 387 of the family's 1533-position model. The record is from RNAcentral.
AUUGAACGCUGGCGGCAUGCCUUACACAUGCAAGUCGAACGGUAACGCGGGGCAACCUGGCGACGAGUGGCGAACGGGUGAGUAAUAUAUCGGAACGUGCCCAGUAGUGGGGGAUAGCCCGGCGAAAGCCGGAUUAAUACCGCAUACGACCUACGGGUGAAAGGCGGGGGAUCGCAAGACCUCGCGCUAUUGGAGCGGCCGAUAUCAGAUUAGGUAGUUGGUGGGGGUAAAGCCUACCAAGCCUACGAUCUGUAGCUGGUCUGAGAGGACGACCAGCCACACUGGGACUGAGACACGGCCCAGACUCCUACGGGAGGCAGCAGUGGGAAUUUUGGACAAUGGGCGCAAGCCUGAU